Etheostoma spectabile (orangethroat darter) is the source of this 615-nucleotide long non-coding RNA. RefSeq lists it as uncharacterized. The transcript is spliced from 2 exons. The record is from RefSeq and is a predicted model, not a curated record. NCBI's taxonomy places the organism in Eukaryota, Metazoa, Chordata, Actinopteri, Perciformes, Percidae.
CAUAUUCACACUUGGCGUCUUUUUUGACAAGAAAAAGUUGACAAGGGAGCUUUUGUAGUGAAAAAAGAAGAAGCUGGCAGCGUUUUGGUUCCAUAAAGCAGCCAGGAGAACCUUUUGUUGCUAUAACAACAGCUACUGCUACAGUAUCGUAGCUAGAGCACGAUGGGGAGUGAUGCUAACGUUAGAUGAAAAAAGUGGUGGAGCGAGAUUGAGAAAGAACAGAGAGAGAGAGUGGUGCUAAAGUUCGAUAAAACAAAGCGGUGGAGCGAGAUUGAGAAAGAACAAAGAGAGAGAGAGUGAGUGGUGCUAAAGUUAGAUAAAACAAAGCGGUGGAGCAAGAUUGAGAAAGAACAGAGAGAGAGAGAGUGGUGCUGCUAACGUUACAAAGAACAAAGUAAGUUCACUGUACAGGGAGCACCCGGUCAUAUCGUAGAACUUGCUGCGCUCCAAAUCCAUUUUUUUUCUUUUUGUCAUGGAAACGACAGGCCUGGCUACUCCGCUUCUCAUUGGUCAGCUGUCAAUAAAGCGCUUGACCUAGGAUGUUUUUUUCAGAACAGUUGAACUUCUUUCAACUUCAAAAAGACGCUCCGAGUUGCAAAAAAGAAGUCGGUGCUU